AGCAGCCGCGGUAAUUCCAGCUCCAAUAGCGUAUAUUAAAGUUGCUGCAGUUAAAAAGCUCGUAGUUGAAUUUCGGGGUCAAUAUGUUGGUCGUGCCUCGGUACGUACUAGCUUAUUGGUUUCUCCCUUCUGACGAACCAUGAUGUCAUUUAUUUGGUGUUAUGGGAAAUCAGGACUGUUACUUUGAAAAAAUUAGAGUGUUUAAAGCAGGCUCACGCUUGAAUACAUUAGCAUGGAAUAAUGAAAUAGGACGUUUGAUUCUAUUUUGUUGGUUUCUAGGAUCGACGUAAUGAUUAAUAGGGAUAGUUGGGGGCAUUAGUAUUCAAUUGUCAGAGGUGAAAUUCUUGGAUUUAUUGAAGACUAACUACUGCGAAAGCAUUUGCCAAGGAUGUUUU
This 395-nucleotide ribosomal RNA is filed under the name uncultured Glomus. RNAcentral describes it as "SSU rRNA". It matches the Rfam family "Eukaryotic small subunit ribosomal RNA", at positions 569 to 970 of the family's 1831-position model. The record is from RNAcentral. Lineage: Eukaryota; Fungi; Glomeromycota; Glomeromycetes; Glomerales; Glomeraceae.